This is a long non-coding RNA of Astyanax mexicanus (Mexican tetra), 1171 nucleotides long. RefSeq lists it as uncharacterized. The transcript has 11 exons. The record is from RefSeq and is a predicted model, not a curated record. Lineage: Eukaryota; Metazoa; Chordata; Actinopteri; Characiformes; Acestrorhamphidae.
UUACAAUAUAAAACUAAUUCAUGUUUUGGUGCAUGUUUCUGAAUGUAUAUUAGAUCCUACGGGCCAUUUAAUGCAGUGAAAUUGAUUAAUAAAGCUCUGUAGUCGCACUGUACUGCUGUGAGCAAGACUCACUUAGCCAGGUUAGCUCCACGUUGGGGCUGAUUUUUUUUCUUUUGUAAUCCGAUGCCAUCCUCGGCCCUGUUAGUGUUAAUAUGUGAAUUUUAGCUUGUAUUAGUCAUGUAAAUAUAAUGUUUCUACGUGCUUAGAGUAUUUUUCUCAUUUUGCAGAGAAAUUGUGAAUUCUCCAGCUAUGUCUGAUUGGUGUAGUCAUCGGUUAGUGCUGUCGAAUCUCUCAGUGAUGAUAACUUUCACAGACCUGUACUGAAACACUGUGAUUGUAACCUUUUUUUUAUCUGAGAAGAGAUUCAUAAACGUGCAUUUAAGAUGGGCAAUGCACCGGUUUUGGGUGUGCUCUGCACGUCUUAGAACGUGCUAGAAGUCUGGAAGUUUCGUGAUGUCUGCACGUGCUGUCCUGGUGCUUGCUGACCAAACGCACUUUCUGUGUAUUUGCAGUUUGCCUACGUGAAGACGGAUCCUCUGUGCUGCUAUAGACUCCUCAAGCCUCUGGGUUGAGCAUUGCCACUUUUAGGCAGCUUAAAGUCUGCAGAUAAUUGGAUGUGAGCAGAGCUGUGGAAGACCUAAUCUAACAAGGUUGGAAAAUGUCUGGCAGCCAACAUGGACAGAAUAUCCUUAACCAUGGAUGCCCGACUAGUGUUCCAGCAAGGUGUUGGUCUUUCGAUACCCCUUAAGGUGGUGCCAGUUCCUGUUUCUUGUUUGUGGAUCAGCCAAGUGGACUACUUUUAAUUGGUCAUGGCUAAAAGAUGGAGGAUGCCGUCUUGGCCUGUGACUGGACUCUGCAAGAAUGUCUGAACAGGGCUGUCCUUUUUGUUUUUUUUUUUUAAUUCUAGGUGGGCUUUCUAAGAUGAAGUUGCUGUGAUCUGAUGUCCUGGAACUGCUUGGUUCUUAGAUUGUAGCUAAAUGUAAAGGGGGACCUGGAGGAGCCCAGUUCAGGACUGCCUGAACCGCAUCUUCUAGAAUGAGGGGGGCCUAGUGCCUGUAAAAGUCCCAAGCAUCCAGGUGACCCUGCCAAGUUGAAGGCUUCUUCUAAACAG